UCUUAGUGAAUCACGUAACUAGGGUUGUGGAUAAGGAUUUAUACUGAAUAGUGGGGUUGUGGCAUGGGAGUGCAGUGGAUUCAGUUGCAUGGAAAAUUAGGAAAUCAAAGUUUAAUGGGAAGGUUGAAGUACAAGUUAGUGAUGAAGCUGUUGGUCUCAGCAAAUUAAAGGAAUUGAUAGAAUGUAAUUGCCAGAAAUUGGGAAUAAAAAGAAGCAGUCCUGAAGCAGUGUUCAUGGAAGGAGUCCCCAGAGCAGCGUGAGGGAAAACGAGAGUCCUGGAACUGCACAACUUAUCUUGGUGCAGCUGAGUGUCUGGUGGAG
Rhincodon typus (whale shark) is the source of this 321-nucleotide long non-coding RNA. RefSeq lists it as uncharacterized. The record is from RefSeq and is a predicted model, not a curated record. The transcript is spliced from 3 exons. NCBI's taxonomy places the organism in Eukaryota, Metazoa, Chordata, Chondrichthyes, Orectolobiformes, Rhincodontidae.